GACACGGGGUGCCGCACCAGCGGCUGAGAUCACACCCGUCGAACCUGAUCUAGGUCGCACUAGCGAAGGGAUGUCG
This 76-nucleotide non-coding RNA is filed under the name uncultured Cellulomonas sp. Its description in RNAcentral is "TPP riboswitch (THI element)". It matches the Rfam family "TPP riboswitch aptamer (THI element)", at positions 7 to 92 of the family's 105-position model. Rfam says of the family: Vitamin B(1) in its active form thiamin pyrophosphate (TPP) is an essential coenzyme that is synthesised by coupling of pyrimidine and thiazole moieties in bacteria. The previously detected thiamin-regulatory element, thi box was extended, resulting in a new, highly conserved RNA secondary structure, the THI element, which is widely distributed in eubacteria and also occurs in some archaea. The record is from RNAcentral. Lineage: Bacteria; Bacillati; Actinomycetota; Actinomycetes; Micrococcales; Cellulomonadaceae.